AAGGUUAUUCCGCUUUAAGAUGAUUAGAUAAAUCAUAGAGAUAGGUAGUUGUUAAGGUAAUGGCUUAACUAGCCCAAAAUUCUCUUAGUCGAAACUGAAAUGGUUGAUCGACCACAUUGGGGCUGAAAAAAACCCAAUACAAGUGAGUACAGCAGUGGGGAAUAUUGGUCAAUGGCCUAACGGCUGAACUGGCAACUUGGAGGAAUGGCCUAUCUUACUAAGUAAAUAGUAAGAAUUAGAGUGAAAAUGGUUAAAUCGAUUAUCGAAUAAAAUUCUAAAUAUAUAAAUUAUAAUGACUAUAUAUAUUUAUGUCUUGACUAAUUACGUGCCAGCAGUCGCGGUAAUACGUAAGAGACUAGUGUUACUCAUUUUUAAUAGGUUUAAGGGUACCCAGACGGAAGAAAUUUGCCUGGAAAGGGACAAUUUUUAUCUAGAGUUUAAUAUAAGAAGGUCGUACUUGUGGAAUAGAGAUGAAAUACUUUUAUACCUAAUAAGGGACUGGUAAAGGCGAAAGCAACCUUUUAUGUAAAAACUGACGUUGAAGGACGAAGGCUUAGAACACGAAUAGGAUUAGAUACCCUAGUAGUCUUAGCAGAAAAUGAUGAAUGUCAUAGGUUAGGUUAUACUUAGUCUAUAAAUGAAAAUGUAAGCAUUUCACCUCAAGAGUAACGUGGCAACACGGAAACUGAAAUCACUAGACCGUUUCUGACAUCAGUAGUGAAGUAUGUUAUUUAAUUCGAUGAUCCACGAAAAACCUUACCACAAUUAGAAUUAUAUUUAUAAUAUAAAUAUUAUAAAUAUAACGAGUGUUGCACGGCUGUUUCCAGUUAAUGUUGUGAAACUAUGGCUUCGGCCAUGAAAUUAACGAAAACCCUUGCUUUAUUUAUAGAAAAUUUUUAAUAAAGCUGCUUUUAUCAUUAUACCGAUAAAAUAGUAGGGCCAAAGACAAGUCAUCAUGGCCUUUAUAUUGUGGGCUAUAGACGUGCCACAUAUUCCUAGACAAAGAGAUGCGAAAAUGCGAAUUUAAGCUAAUCUCAAAAAAUAGGAUAAAAUAGGAUAAGGAUUGUAGUCUGAAACUCGACUACAUGAAUAAGUAAUUACUAGUAAUCGUGAAUC
This 1116-nucleotide ribosomal RNA is filed under the name Grosmannia penicillata. Its description in RNAcentral is "SSU rRNA". It matches the Rfam family "Bacterial small subunit ribosomal RNA", at positions 202 to 1350 of the family's 1533-position model. Lineage: Eukaryota; Fungi; Ascomycota; Sordariomycetes; Ophiostomatales; Ophiostomataceae. The record is from RNAcentral.